GCUGUUCAUUACAGCAACAUCGGAUGACCAUUCGUUUAUGUCCUAACUCUUGAGACCCCCUUCUCUUCCUUCAUUUUCCUCAAAGAGAGAAGGAAAAAACUAAAAAGACGCUUGACGGGAUCAAUCACCCUCGUCUUUUCUUUUCCUCUCCGUCUCUCUCUUCAAAUUUCUCCAAAAAGAAGUUUCUUCUUUGCGAAUUGAAUAUUGGGAACAUAAUUUGGAGAUAGGGAGGGUAAGAAAUGGGUGACACAACAGAUUCAACAUUGAGAUUGAUACAAAACUCAGUCCCCAUGAACAUAUCCACCACUACAACCACAAUUGUAUCAUCUUAUGCCUCUUCUUCCAUUUUACCAAAUUUUCCUCUGCUCUCUUCUCUCAUUGCUUUUGCCCUUGCACAAUCCAUUAAGUUCUUCGCUUCUUGGUACAGGGAAAAGCAUUGGGAUCUAAAGCAACUUGUUGGAUCUGGUGGGAUGCCGUCAUCUCAUUCAGCAACCGUGACUGCUUUAGCCACGGCUGUUGGUUUGCUAGAAGGCUUUGGAGGAUCGCUCUUUGCUGCAGCAUUAGUUUUCGCAUGCGUGAACUUGCAGCAGCAGUAUCAGCACAAGUUCUUGGCUCUCUGGGAAUUAAUGUCUUUCAAUAUGACAGAAGUGAUGACUCUAUUACAAAAAUGGUCUGAAGAGAUGAUGGGCAUUUCUAGUAGGCAAGGACAGUUUGAGGAGAAGCUAGAACAAGCUCACAAGGACCAGGAACAGACCUUGAAGGCACUUUGCGAGGUCAUUACUUGUGGUAGGAGACUAGAGAGAAACAGGGAUCUGGUUACCAGUGGAACGGAGCUAUACUCGCUAUCAGAUCCUUUCCAAAUUUCAGCUUUCCCAAGAACAUAGGUGAUUUAUGAUGCCACAGGUGUAAGAUUGCAUGCUGGACGUCAAGCAGAGGUCUGAAGCUUCUGUUGCUUUAGCUAUGUAGAUAUCAGCAUUAUAUGCAAGCAGUUGUCCUUUGAACCUUCAAGUUCUGAAUCAAAUUGUAUGCGAACUUCCUGCUGAACAUCCUCUUGCAGACAGCAUACCGCUGCGGGAACUCCUUGGUCACACCCCUCCUCAGGUUGUUGCUGGUGGAUUCUUG
Capsicum annuum is the source of this 1122-nucleotide RNA transcript. RefSeq lists it as uncharacterized. The record is from RefSeq and is a predicted model, not a curated record. Lineage: Eukaryota; Viridiplantae; Streptophyta; Magnoliopsida; Solanales; Solanaceae. The transcript is spliced from 6 exons.